CCUACGGGUGGCUGCAGUGGGGAAUAUUGCACAAUGGAGGGAACUCUGAUGCAGCGACGCCGCGUGAGUGAAGAAGGUCUUCGGAUCGUAAAACUCUGUCCUUGGUGAAGAUAAUGACGGUAGCCAAGGAGGAAGCCCCGGCUAACUACGUGCCAGCAGCCGCGGUAAUACGUAGGGGGCGAGCGUUGUCCGGAUUUACUGGGCGUAAAGGGUGAGUAGGCGGUUGUAUAUGUCAGGUGUAAAAGGCUAUGGCUUAACCAUGGUUAGCACUUGAAACUGUACAACUUGAGUGCAGGAGAGGUAAGUGGAAUUCCUAGUGUAGCGGUGAAAUGCGUAGAUAUUAGGAGGAACACCAGUGGCGAAGGCGACUUACUGGACUGUAACUGACGCUGAGGCACGAAAGCGUGGGUAGCAAACAGGCUUAGAUACCCUGGUAGUC
RNAcentral lists this ribosomal RNA (439 nucleotides) under uncultured Sedimentibacter sp. Its description in RNAcentral is "bacterial SSU rRNA". It matches the Rfam family "Bacterial small subunit ribosomal RNA", at positions 338 to 795 of the family's 1533-position model. Lineage: Bacteria; Bacillati; Bacillota; Tissierellia. The record is from RNAcentral.